Molecule: ribosomal RNA, 532 nt
Filed under: uncultured bacterium
Lineage: Bacteria
Description: bacterial SSU rRNA
Rfam family: Bacterial small subunit ribosomal RNA
Source: RNAcentral
AGAGUUUGAUCAUGGCUCAGGACGAACGCUGGCGGCGUGCCUAACACAUGCAAGUUGAGCGACGAACCAGGGCUUGCCCUGGGGCAAAGCAGCGAACGGGUGAGUAACACGUGGGUAACGUGCCCCGAUAACCGGGACAACCCGAGGAAACUCGGGCUAAUACCGGAUGUGCCCAUCAGACACCAGUCUGAUGUGUAAAGGAAGCUUCGGCCUCCGUAUCGGGAGCGGCCCGCGGCCCAUUAGUUAGUUGGUGAGGUAACGGCUCACCAAGACCGCGAUGGGUAGCUGGUCUGAGAGGACGAUCAGCCACACUGGGACUGAGACACGGCCCAGACUCCUACGGGAGGCAGCAGUGGGGAAUCUUGCGCAAUGCGCGAAAGCGUGACGCAGCAACGCCGCGUGGGGGAAGAAGGCCUUCGGGUUGUAAACCCCUUUCAGGAGGGACGAAGGUGCGACGGUGAAUAGCCGUUCGCACUGACGGUACCUCCACAAGAAGCCCCGGCUAACUACGUGCCAGCAGCGGCGGUAAUAC